UAGGAAGCCCUGUCUCAUUGUGUGCAUUCUCUAGGCAGGGGGUCCUGAACAGUAUGAGAAGAGAAAUGUACUUGAGCAAUGGUAAACAGGUUAUUUGAUGAUCUUAUCAACAAAUCUGAAAUUAGGAGGUUGGAGUUCUAUAGACCACAACAGGUUCAGUGUGUUGCUAGAUCACAAAGCAGCUUUGCUCAGUUUGUUCAACAUUUAAAGCAGUGGAUGCAUUACUGAUCUGCAUAUUCAUACAGCAAGGUACAGUGGGACAGACAUUUGGAAAGAAAUGACUUUCCUUCAAAUAUGAAUUUUGUUGAGAAAACAAUCUUGGACUUGUAAUCCAUUAAUAAA
Nannospalax galili (Upper Galilee mountains blind mole rat) is the source of this 342-nucleotide long non-coding RNA. RefSeq lists it as uncharacterized. The record is from RefSeq and is a predicted model, not a curated record. The transcript is spliced from 3 exons. NCBI's taxonomy places the organism in Eukaryota, Metazoa, Chordata, Mammalia, Rodentia, Spalacidae.